UAAUACGGAGGGUGCAAGCGUUAAUCGGAAUUACUGGGCGUAAAGCGCGCGUAGGCGGCUUUGUAAGUCGGAUGUGAAAGCCCUGGGCUUAACCUGGGAAUUGCAUUCGAUACUGCUUAGCUAGAGUAUGGUAGAGGGAAGUGGAAUUUCCGGUGUAGCGGUGAAAUGCGUAGAUAUCGGAAGGAACACCAGUGGCGAAGGCGACUUCCUGGGCCAAUACUGACGCUGAGGCGCGAAAGCGUGGGGAGCAAACAGGAUUAGAUACCCUGGUAGUCCACGCCGUAAACGAUGAGAACUAGAUGUCGGGGGAACUCAGUCUCCCGGUGUCGCAGCUAACGCGUUAAGUUCUCCGCCUGGGGAGUACGCCGGCAACGGUA
RNAcentral lists this ribosomal RNA (377 nucleotides) under uncultured bacterium. RNAcentral describes it as "bacterial SSU rRNA". It matches the Rfam family "Bacterial small subunit ribosomal RNA", at positions 521 to 896 of the family's 1533-position model. The record is from RNAcentral.